UGUAACGGGGCUAAACCAUGCACCGAAGCUGCGGCAGCGAACGUAUCACCCAAGACAACUUUACGGAGUUGACGAUUGACGGAGCGAAGCGACGUCAAAGCGUUCAUUAAAGUCGAGUUGGCUUAGGGAUACGUUCGUUGGGUAGGGGAGCGUUCUGUAAGCCUGUGAAGGUGUGUCGUGAGGCAUGCUGGAGGUAUCAGAAGUGCGAAUGCUGACAUAAGUAACGAUAAAGCGGGUGAAAAGCCCGCUCGCCGGAAGACCAAGGGUUCCUGUCCAACGUUAAUCGGGGCAGGGUGAGUCGACCCCUAAGGCGAGGCCGAAAGGCGUAGUCGAUGGGAAACGGGUUAAUAUUCCCGUACUUGGUGUUACUGCGAAGGGGGGACGGAGAAGGCUAUGUUGGCCGGGCGACGGUUGUCCCGGUUUAAGCGUGUAGGUGUGUGUUCCAGGUAAAUCCGGUUCACUUUAACACUGAGGCGUGACGACGAGGCACUACGGUGCUGAAGCAACAAAUGCCCUGCUUCCAGGAAAAGCCUCUAAGCAUCAGGUAACACGAAAUCGUACCCCAAACCGACACAGGUGGUCAGGUAGAGAAUACCAAGGCGCUUGAGAGAACUCGGGUGAAGGAACUAGGCAAAAUGGUGCCGUAACUUCGGGAGAAGGCACGCUGACACGUAGGUGAAGUGAUUUACUCAUGGAGCUGAAGUCAGUCGAAGAUACCAGCUGGCUGCAACUGUUUAUUAAAAACACAGCACUGUGCAAACACGAAAGUGGACGUAUACGGUGUGACGCCUGCCCGGUGCCGGAA
This 805-nucleotide ribosomal RNA is filed under the name Salmonella enterica. RNAcentral's name for it is "partial 23S ribosomal RNA". It matches the Rfam family "Bacterial large subunit ribosomal RNA", at positions 1171 to 1874 of the family's 2925-position model. The record is from RNAcentral. Lineage: Bacteria; Pseudomonadati; Pseudomonadota; Gammaproteobacteria; Enterobacterales; Enterobacteriaceae.